RNAcentral lists this microRNA precursor (273 nucleotides) under Oryza punctata. Its description in RNAcentral is "pre miRNA MIR159". It matches the Rfam family "MIR159 microRNA precursor family". The record is from Rfam by way of RNAcentral. Lineage: Eukaryota; Viridiplantae; Streptophyta; Magnoliopsida; Poales; Poaceae.
GUUGUGGACGUUGAGCUCCUUUCGGUCCAAAAAGGGGUGUUGCUGUGGGUCGAUUGAGCUGCUGGGUCAUGGAUCCCGUUAGCCUACUCCAUAUGCUCAUUAUUCAGCUCGAGAUCUGAAAGAAACUACUCCAAUAUGUGCUUGUGGUAUGUAUGUAGAUAGGAGAAAGAUGGAGUACUCGUUGGGGUAGGCUUACGGCUUGCAUGCCCCAGGAGCUGCAUCAACCCUACAUGGACCCUCUUUGGAUUGAAGGGAGCUCUGCAUCUUUGGUCA